This 253-nucleotide ribosomal RNA is filed under the name uncultured bacterium. Its description in RNAcentral is "partial 16S ribosomal RNA". It matches the Rfam family "Bacterial small subunit ribosomal RNA", at positions 524 to 776 of the family's 1533-position model. The record is from RNAcentral.
UACGUAGGGGGCAAGCGUUGUUCGGAUUUACUGGGCGUAAAGGGCGCGUAGGCGGCUUAACAAGUCACUUGUGAAAUCUCCGGGCUUAACUCGGAACGGCCAAGUGAAACUGUCAAGCUAGAGUGCAGAAGGGGCAAUCGGAAUUCUUGGUGUAGCGGUGAAAUGCGUAGAUAUCAAGAGGAACACCUGAGGUGAAGACGGGUUGCUGGGCUGACACUGACGCUGAGGCGCGAAAGCCAGGGGAGCAAACGGG